Molecule: long non-coding RNA, 503 nt
Filed under: Elaeis guineensis (African oil palm)
Lineage: Eukaryota; Viridiplantae; Streptophyta; Magnoliopsida; Arecales; Arecaceae
Description: long non-coding RNA (EGUI_LNC074934)
Source: RNAcentral
UUCUGGCCAUGAACUGAAACAAACGGUAGGGAAUAAAGAGGAAGGAGAUGGUGAAGAUGGUGAUGGCCCUCAGAAGAACGAGAAGAAAUUACUGAGAAAAAGAGAAGCAGAGGAGAGUACCUGGGACAAGGAAUUACGCGGACAGAGUCUUGACAGCAAAAUGAGGGAGGUAAAAAAUUGAAUAGGGGCGACCCUGUAUAUAUAGUACCCCCCGACGGUCGAGAUGAAGGCACAACCAGCGAGGAGUCCCCAGAUCCCACCACGUGGCGUCAUCCGGGCCGUCCGUCCGCCCGACGGUUCGAUGCACCCACCUUCAGAUCGAGCCACGUCACCUCCAUCCGCUCCAACAAACCCAUCCCAAUGGCCGCACGCCAUGUGGCGUAAAGGCCGCGACAUUUCGUAUCCCCGAAGGGAUGGCGGGAACGGCGGUUUUCUUUCCCGACGGGAUGGGACACCUGACACCGACAGGACGUCUGACACCAGCGGGACAUCCAACGCCUGCA